UAAGGAAUAUUGGACAAUGGUCGCAAGACUGAUCCAGCCAUGCCGCGUGCAGGAAGACGGCCCUAUGGGUUGUAAACUGCUUUUGUACCAGAGAAAACCUAUCUACGUGUAGAUAGCUGAUAGUAUGGUAAGACUAAGCAUCGGCUAACUUCGUGCCAGCAGCCGCGGUAAGACGAAGGAUGCAAGCGUUAUCCGGAUUCAUUGGGUUUAAAGGGUGCGUAGGCGGGCUUGUAAGUCAGUGGUGAAAUCUCUCAGCUUAACUGAGAAACUGCCAUUGAUACUGAAGGCCUAGAGUAUAGAUGACGUUGGCGGAAUAUGACAUGUAGUGGUGAAAUACUUAGAUAUGUCAUAGAACACCGAUUGCGAAGGCAGCUAACGAAACUAUAACUGACGCUGAGGCACGAAAGUGCGGGGAUCAAACA
This 422-nucleotide ribosomal RNA is filed under the name uncultured bacterium. RNAcentral's name for it is "bacterial SSU rRNA". It matches the Rfam family "Bacterial small subunit ribosomal RNA", at positions 355 to 774 of the family's 1533-position model. The record is from RNAcentral.